AACGCUCUCGCGGGAGAGAUCGGGGCCGUUCCGACGGCUCCGGAGCCGAAGGCGCAACCGCCCCGGAAACGCUCAGGCAAAAGGACCGCGGGGCGCAC
RNAcentral lists this non-coding RNA (98 nucleotides) under Caulobacterales bacterium. RNAcentral describes it as "Glycine sequence". It matches the Rfam family "Glycine riboswitch aptamer". Rfam says of the family: This family represents the bacterial glycine riboswitch. Glycine riboswitches usually consist of two metabolite-binding aptamers domains with similar structures in tandem. The record is from RNAcentral. Lineage: Bacteria; Pseudomonadati; Pseudomonadota; Alphaproteobacteria; Caulobacterales.